GAUGAACGCUAGCUACAGGCUUAACACAUGCAAGUCGAGGGGAAACGACAUCGAAAGCUUGCUUUUGAUGGGCGUCGACCGGCGCACGGGUGAGUAACGCGUAUCCAACCUGCCCACCACUUGGGGAUAACCUUGCGAAAGUAAGACUAAUACCCAAUGACGUCUCUAGAAGACAUCUGAAAGAGAUUAAAGAUUUAUCGGUGAUGGAUGGGGAUGCGUCUGAUUAGCUUGUUGGCGGGGUAACGGCCCACCAAGGCGACGAUCAGUAGGGGUUCUGAGAGGAAGGUCCCCCACAUUGGAACUGAGACACGGUCCAAACUCCUACGGGAGGCAGCAGUGAGGAAUAUUGGUAAAUGGACGAGAGUCUGAACCAGCCAAGUAGCGUGCAGGAUGACGGCCCUAUGGGUUGUAAACUGCUUUUAUAAGGGAAUAAAGUGAGUCUCGGGAGACUUUUUGCAUGUACCUUAUGAAUAAGGACCGGCUAAUUCCGUG
This 492-nucleotide ribosomal RNA is filed under the name uncultured bacterium. RNAcentral describes it as "partial 16S ribosomal RNA". It matches the Rfam family "Bacterial small subunit ribosomal RNA", at positions 28 to 507 of the family's 1533-position model. The record is from RNAcentral.